GUGAGACUCAGCUUAUGGCUGAACCUCAUAGGCUUCCAUACUUGGCAGAAGGAGGCCGUUAUGUGGUGUCUCGGGGUGCAAAGGAUAACGCUGUAAAAAUUUGGAAACCAUCUUGUCCAGAGCUGGUUGAACAUUAUCAUCCUGGCUAAUGAAGCAUCGUGCCUACAACAUCUGACUGAUGGGGAAGUAAUGUAGCAUAAGAAGGAGAUAGCAACUAAUCAAAUGAAGAAUUAGGGGAUUAGGUGGAAAAAUCUGUGACAAAAUGAUCAUUUGUAAUCAAUACCAAGGAUUCUUCUCAGCAAAGGAAGAGUAGACAUGGCUACAACAGUAGGUUGUGGGGGUAACAGACGACAAUUCCCAUCCUGCACCUCUGUCAUCUACUCUAGGCUGUACAACCUGUAUACCCCUGAUUGGCAGAGAAUAAGUCUCCACACUAUUGUACA
Hyla sarda is the source of this 443-nucleotide long non-coding RNA. RefSeq lists it as uncharacterized. The transcript has 3 exons. NCBI's taxonomy places the organism in Eukaryota, Metazoa, Chordata, Amphibia, Anura, Hylidae. The record is from RefSeq and is a predicted model, not a curated record.